RNAcentral lists this transfer RNA (85 nucleotides) under Anaeroplasmataceae bacterium. RNAcentral describes it as "tRNA-Leu". It matches the Rfam family "tRNA". From Rfam's summary of the family: Transfer RNA (tRNA) molecules are approximately 80 nucleotides in length. The record is from RNAcentral. Lineage: Bacteria; Bacillati; Mycoplasmatota; Mollicutes; Anaeroplasmatales; Anaeroplasmataceae.
GCGGUUAUGGCGGAACUGGUAGACGCGUACGUUUGAGGGGCGUAUGGGACAUCCCGUGUGAGUUCGAUUCUCAUUAGCCGCACCA